This 346-nucleotide unclassified non-coding RNA is filed under the name fungal sp. Its description in RNAcentral is "partial internal transcribed spacer region". The stretch from base 1 to 46 matches the Rfam family "Eukaryotic small subunit ribosomal RNA", at positions 1786 to 1831 of the family's 1831-position model. Lineage: Eukaryota; Fungi. The record is from RNAcentral.
AAGUCGUAACAAGGUUUCCGUAGGUGAACCUGCGGAAGGAUCAUUAACACGUAUAACGUUUUAACCAUCCCUCAACCCCUCUGUGAACCAAAACAUUUUAAACCUAAAUCCUGCUUUCGUGGGCUUAAUUGCUCACGAUUGUAGGUCGCUCCAGCUGGUUCGGGCAUUUCUCGAAAUGCCUGUUCUUCAAGCGUGCGCCUGUUUCAAUUUACUUUGAAAACGGUGGCAGGGCGUCAAACCAAACCCUUGACUCUUACUACUGAAACCCCCCUAACUGAAAGGUGCUUGCAUCUGAAGGUUAACAAAAAUACAAAAACAACUCUUAACAACGGAUAUCUUGGUUCUC